This 301-nucleotide unclassified non-coding RNA is filed under the name Hevea brasiliensis (rubber tree). The record is from RNAcentral. Lineage: Eukaryota; Viridiplantae; Streptophyta; Magnoliopsida; Malpighiales; Euphorbiaceae.
UAUAUUGGGGAAUGAAGAAGAUUCGAGGGAGACAUCAAUAAAAAUUAAAGAUUCUAUUGAGUUAAAGGGCAUUUCAACUGUUGUUCUAAUUGAUUUUAUCUUCCCAGAUGUUUCUAAGAAUACAAAAGCAAGUGCAAACUUUUUCAAGUCAUUCUUAUUACUACUGUUCAAGGAGAUCGUAUUGUGUGUUCUCCUUACUUGGUUCUUGAUCAUUCAACACUUUAGAACUUGAGGUCGAGUUUUCUCCAAUAAAGGGAAAAUAAUGCAGUAUAGGAAGUUAAAAUUUUAUUUAGGAAUUUUA